Molecule: ribosomal RNA, 403 nt
Filed under: bacterium
Lineage: Bacteria
Description: partial 16S ribosomal RNA
Rfam family: Bacterial small subunit ribosomal RNA
Source: RNAcentral
UGGGGAAUAUUGCACAAUGGGGGAAACCCUGAUGCACCGACGCCGCUUGAACGAAGAAGGUAUUCGUAUCGUAAAGUUCUGUCCUAUGGGAAGAUAAUGACAGUACCAUAGAAGAACGCUCCGGCUAAAUACGUGCCAGCAGCCGCGGUAAUACGUAUGGAGCGAGCGUUGUCCGGAAUUAUUGGGCGUAAAGGGUACGCAGGCGGUUUAAUAAGUCGAAUGUUAAAGAUCGGGGCUCAACCCCGCAAAGCAUUGGAAACUGAUAAACUUGAGUAGUGGAGAGGAAAGUGGAAUUCCUAGUGUAGUGGUGAAAUACGUAGAUAUUAGGAGGAAUACCAGUAGCGAAGGCGACUUUCUGGACACAAACUGACGCUGAGGUACGAAAGCGUGGGGAGCAAACAGG